Non-coding RNA from Stegodyphus mimosarum, 45 nucleotides. The record is from Rfam. NCBI's taxonomy places the organism in Eukaryota, Metazoa, Arthropoda, Arachnida, Araneae, Eresidae.
AAAAAGGCCCUUUUCAGGGUCAUACAAUUUCAAGUACAGUUCUGU